ACUAUUUUGGCAGAUUAGUGCGUUAAAUUUAGAAUUUAUUUAUGUAAUUGGAGAUUACAGAUAGUA
This 66-nucleotide transfer RNA is filed under the name Megacopta cribriella. RNAcentral's name for it is "tRNA-Leu". Lineage: Eukaryota; Metazoa; Arthropoda; Insecta; Hemiptera; Plataspidae. The record is from RNAcentral.